Molecule: long non-coding RNA, 874 nt
Filed under: Homo sapiens (human)
Lineage: Eukaryota; Metazoa; Chordata; Mammalia; Primates; Hominidae
Description: HSALNT0228389
Source: RNAcentral
CUCUCUUUGUCUCGUUAGAACCCCAGGUCGCACCUCCCAUCAAGGAAGAUGUCCAGAUUGCUGUCUGACGUCUGGUCUCUGGACUGAAGGCCAUUUAGUGCAGAUCUCACAAAUGAUGGUGGGGCAAGGCAGGGGGUAUGCAUGAGUGGCAUGGGCAAGGUGUGAGUUGGGGGAUACAAAAGGGAGUGGUGGAGGACGGGCACGGUGGCUCACACCUGUAAUCCCAGCACUUUGGGAGGCCAAUGUGGGCGAAUCACCUGAGGUCAGGAGUUCAGGGCCAGUCUGAUAGCCUGAGCAACAUGGAGAAACCCCGCCUCUAAUAAAAAAUACAAAAAUUAGUGAAGCCGACUUGACCAGCAGGUGGCUGUUGUGUGGCCUCUCAGGAGGACGCCCUCUCCCUUCCCCCAGUGGUUGCAAAAUACUUCAGAAAGAAAACCAAAGUUCUCUGUGGGUGCAGUCGGUUGUUUCAGAAGCUGACGGAGCCUGGUCUUUGUAUAACCCCAUCUUUCCCCUUUCUUUCUGUCAACUGUUUAUGGGAGGAUUCUCAAACUGUUCUGGAGAAUGUUUCUACCCUUUAGUUCUAGUGUUGGGUGACCUGUAAUUUUCAUGUUGGCUGGGGAUGCCAGGAGUUGGCAGAGGCUCCUUCCAGAGCCCCUGUGGACUGAAUUCUGCCACUUCCGUAAAAUCAUUUAAAAGUAGAGGGUGAGUCAAGUGCAGUAGCUCACAUCUGUAAUCCCAGCACCUUGAGAGGCCAAGGCAGGCAGAUACCCUGAGGUCAGGAGUUCAAGAUCACCCUGGCCAACAUGGUGAGACCCUGUCUCUACUAAAAAAUUUAAAAAUGAGCUAGAUGUGGUGGCCCACGCCUGUGGUCCUA